GAGUAACUCCCCUUGGGGAGGGGGAUAACCAUCUGAAAAGGUGGCUAAUACCCCAUAUUCUCCUUUUUUGCCAAAGAAAGGAGGAAAGAUGGCGUAAGCUAUCACCCCGAGAGAGGCUCGCGUCCCAUCAGCUAGUUGGUAGGGUAAUGGCCUACCAAGGCUAUGACGGGUAGCUGGUCUGAGAGGAUGGUCAGCCACACUGGGACUGAGACACGGCCCAGACUCCUACGGGAGGCAGCAGUGAGGAAUCUUGGGCAAUGGGCGAAAGCCUGACCCAGCGACGCCGCGUGGAGGAAGAAGGCCUUCGGGUCGUAAACUCCUGUUCGGGGAGAAGAACAGGAGAGGAGUGAAUAACUUCUCUCCCUGACGGUAUCCCCGGAGAAAGCUCCGGCUAAUUACGUGCCAGCAGCCGCGGUAAUACGUAAGGAGCGAGCGUUGUCCGGAUUUACUGGGCGUAAAGAGCUCGUAGGUGGUUUCUUAGGUCUCACGUGAAAUUCCCUGGCUCAACUGGGGAGGGUCGUGGGAAACCGAGAAGCUAGAGGGCAGGAGAGGAGAGUGGAAUUCCCGGUGUAGCGGUGAAAUGCGUAGAGAUCGGGAGGAACACCAGUGGUGAAGACGGCUCUCUGGACUGUCCCUGACACUGAGGAGCGAAAGCCAGGGGAGCAAACCGGAUUAGAUACCCGGGUAGUCCUGGCUGUA
This 699-nucleotide ribosomal RNA is filed under the name uncultured Atribacterota bacterium. RNAcentral's name for it is "bacterial SSU rRNA". It matches the Rfam family "Bacterial small subunit ribosomal RNA", at positions 119 to 804 of the family's 1533-position model. The record is from RNAcentral. Lineage: Bacteria; Pseudomonadati; Atribacterota.